CACUAGCUUCGGAUUUCCAAACUAAUACUCAUCUCUUAAAAGCCGAGCCAAGAAGAAAAUGCGAGGAAGGCCUCAGAUGCGGGAGACCUCGGGCUUGAAGGUCCAUCUAUGUUUUCCACAGCAAGUUAUGAAACUGGCACCGUCCUUAUCCUCUUUCCAUCUGGAAAGGGUGGUUUCAUCCAAGAUCUUCAAAGGGGAGUGACCCACUCGAGUACCUUUAGGGAUCCAGUCCAACCGACUCAAUGAAGAGUGCAGCAGAGGAAGAGGUCGCACAUGCUAGAUAUGGGUGAUGGAGAACUUCUCAUGGCACGGUCCCAGGGUUGAUGUUAGUGGUGACAAAAAUGCAAUUGGACGAGUCACAACUUGUAAGGAAGAUCCAGAUCCUCAGAGGUACCUAACUCUAUUGGGCCCAGAUCCUUGGAGCAGUACAGGUAUAUAAUGCCCAUUGAUUGCAGAGGGGUUAAGCAGUUUAACACCCUUCUCUAUGGAUUUGAGAACUGAGCAGAGAUCUCAGACUCCAACCUCUAUAAAACAAAAUGGGUGACUUUAGGAUAGCCCAGAAGAGAAGAACAAGGAAUGAUAUGGGGUCAUCAAGUACAAAUAACCAAGCAGAGCACCAGUCUUCUAAGGUGCUGCUGUAUGGCUCACUGAAGUCAAUGAAAAGAUCCUUCACGAUUUCGGUAGAUCAGCCCUGGUGCUUUACUCUUCAGCUGAGCGGGUUGGAACACUGCCUGUCUCCUGCCUCUUCCCAGGGAAGGAGGCGAGUGCCUGCAGGUGACCUCCAAGGGAGCUCUCAAAGGCGAUGCACCCGCUCAGGAGUGGCUAACACUGAUUUGAUCUUGGAGAGAUCCACAAGCUGAACUCAGACCCAAAGCUGGCGUCUUUGCAGAAGACAGAAGGAAGACCACAAGCCUUCACGUGAGCCUUGAAGUCUCGAGGAGAAGGCGGGGAGGGGCUCGACCCCAUCUCCUGCCUGGUUGCUCUUAAUCUCCUGCAGGAAUGUGACAUUCCACAAAAGCUCUUCUUGGGGCAACGGUGGAGGCCACUGCCAAACCCCAGUGAGCUGUACCUCUCCUUCCUCUACCCUGAAUCAUCCACAAUAAUCCUUUAGCUGGGGGCUGAAGGCAUAGAAAAAAGAAAAGAUAAAAGGGAGCUUGAAUCAAUGCUGACUUCUGUGGUAGCUAAUGCUUUAAAAAUGCCUAAAGAUCACUUUGAUUGCACACUGUUUGGGCCAUGCGCCAUCCUUUCAUUACUUAUCCAUGUACAGGAGAGCUCACUAACAUUCUGUUGAAAAUAUAUUUUUCUUUUGGCCAAAUCCAGAUUUCUUUUAGCAGAAAACAAAAAAUAUUUUAGCUGAAAUUAAUUUUUUUCCCCAAGUGAUCCCCACCCCCCCCAACAAGUAGAGGAAAACAGGUAUUUUUUUAGAAGCUUUUGAGUUCAAUAAAAAAUACAUUUCUACUGAAAUAUACUUCAAGGCAAUUUUUUACCUAUGGCUAAUUUUUUGGCUAUGUCUAACAUAUAGUAGCUGCUUAGGAAUCUCUCUGCUGUAAACAGGAUUAUUACUAAAAAAUAGAAGAGUGUGAGGAUGCCGGAAGGGGAAAAUCUCACCAUUUUCUUUUAUCCUAGACAGAUCACUUCAAUGGGCUAAUAGCCAAGAAGGUUAAAAUAUUAAUGGAUCCUGCACAGAACACACCAGAUGGAAAAGAUCUGAGUUGGGCAAAAACUAUUUGUUGAAAUUUGUACUUUUGAGUGAAAUCUUUUCAGAAGGGUGGAGCAUCAGGCAAAGGAGCAUCUCACCCUUAGGACACAUUUUUGUGAUACUUCAAAGGAAAAAUUGUGAAUUCUUGCUUGCGGUUUCAUUGAUGUAUAUUCCUUCCAGAACUCUGAAAAACUUCCCUCUCCAACGAGGUUUGGUCCUGUGGGUCAGUGGAUCCUCCUGGCAAGCUGGUGAAAUGUCUUCUGGGCUAUCAAGGGAAAUGCCUUCAGGUCAGCACUUGCAUGGAGGCGUCUGCCUCUGCCCUCCCUCCAGGCUAUGGGCUGAUUAUAGACAAGGUCUUUAGGGACCUAGCACGGGUUGUCACUUUUAGAUGGGCAGGAGGAAGGGGAAGGCAGCAGUGAUGAAGUAAUAGCUGUUAUGGCAGAAUGAGGACUGCUCCAGUGACAUGGUAACACCACGCAGCAGUCCUGGCAUGUGAGCCUUGGUAAACUUAGGGGGUUUAUAGCUUUAUGGAUGCUGGCAGUCAAUCUUAGGAAUCCCUUAACAUUAUCAAGCCAACUACAUUACUUGAUGGAAUGAUUAUUUUUGUAUUAACCUUAUGAAUAUUAACACUCAUGAACUUCUUCCUAAGUAAUUGUUAAUAUAUGAUAUUAUGAAAAUAAUAAAAAUGUUGAAGGAGCUUUCAAGCCA
Harpia harpyja (harpy eagle) is the source of this 2407-nucleotide long non-coding RNA. RefSeq lists it as uncharacterized. The record is from RefSeq and is a predicted model, not a curated record. Lineage: Eukaryota; Metazoa; Chordata; Aves; Accipitriformes; Accipitridae. The transcript is spliced from 4 exons.